RNAcentral lists this transfer RNA (72 nucleotides) under Terrestrivirus sp. RNAcentral describes it as "tRNA-Glu". Lineage: Varidnaviria; Bamfordvirae; Nucleocytoviricota; Megaviricetes; Imitervirales; Mimiviridae. The record is from RNAcentral.
UAUCGAUAUCGGGACUUGAACCCGAAUUUGUUGCUUGAAAGACAACUGUCCUAACCUUUAGACUAUAUCGAU